RNAcentral lists this ribosomal RNA (502 nucleotides) under uncultured Glomeromycotina. RNAcentral's name for it is "partial small subunit ribosomal RNA". It matches the Rfam family "Eukaryotic small subunit ribosomal RNA", at positions 591 to 1091 of the family's 1831-position model. The record is from RNAcentral. Lineage: Eukaryota; Fungi; Glomeromycota.
CCAAUAGCGUAUAUUAAAGUUGUUGCAGUUAAAAAGCUCGUAGUUGAAUUUCGGGGUUCAUCCGUUGGUCGGGCUUUUUUGGUCUGUACUGGCGUGAUGGAUUCCUACCUUCUGAAUAACCAGCAUGUCAUUAAUUUGGUGCGCUGGGGAAGCAGGACUGUUACCUUGAAAAAAUUAGAGUGCUUAAAGCAGGCUAUCGCCUGAAUACAUUAGCAUGGAAUAAUGAAAUAGGACGGCAUGGUUCUAUUUUGUUGGUUUCUAGGAUCACCGUAAUGAUUAAUAGGGAUAGUUGGGGGCAUUAGUAUUCAAUUGUCAGAGGUGAAAUUCUUGGAUUUAUUGAAGACUAACUUCUGCGAAAGCAUUUGCCAAGGAUGUUUUCAUUAAUCAAGAACGAAAGUUAGGGGAUCGAAGACGAUCAGAUACCGUCGUAGUCUUAACCAUAAACUAUGCCGACUAGGGAUCGGACGAUGUUAAUUUUUUAAUGACUCGUUCGGCGCCUUAC